Molecule: ribosomal RNA, 485 nt
Filed under: Syngnathus acus (greater pipefish)
Lineage: Eukaryota; Metazoa; Chordata; Actinopteri; Syngnathiformes; Syngnathidae
Description: partial 12S ribosomal RNA
Rfam family: Bacterial small subunit ribosomal RNA
Source: RNAcentral
UUGAUAGCAAUUCACUCGCAAUCCGCCAGGGAACUACAAGCACUGGCUUGAAACCCAAAGGACUUGGCGGUGCUUUAGACCCACCUAGAGGAGCCUGUUCUAGAACUGAUAACCCCCGUUCAACCUCACCCUGCUUUGUUAUUUUCCGCCUAUAUACCGCCGUCGUCAGCUUACCUUGUGAGAGAUUAUAAGUGAGCAAGAUUGGUAUAACCCAAAACGUCAGGUCGAGGUGUAGUGAAUAGCAGGGGAAGAAAUGGGCUACAUUUAUCUAUAGAUAAACACGGAUCAUUUAUUGAAAAAUAAAGCUGAAGGAGGAUUUAGCAGUAAGAAGAAAAUAGAGAGUUCUUCUGAAAUAGGCUCUGAAGCGCGCACACACCGCCCGUCACUCUCCCCUAACAUCUCAUAAGAUUAAGUAAAACCCCUGAAAAAUUAAGGGGAGGCAAGUCGUAACAUGGUAAGUGUACCGGAAGGUGCACUUGGAAUAC